UAUUAAGUGGCCGAACUAUUCUUAAGCACUAGACUUUUAAUCUAGAUAAUGAUUUUUUUUAAUCCUUAAUGG
Molecule: transfer RNA, 72 nt
Filed under: Scaeurgus unicirrhus
Lineage: Eukaryota; Metazoa; Mollusca; Cephalopoda; Octopoda; Octopodidae
Description: tRNA-Lys
Source: RNAcentral